RNAcentral lists this ribosomal RNA (433 nucleotides) under uncultured bacterium. Its description in RNAcentral is "partial 16S ribosomal RNA". It matches the Rfam family "Bacterial small subunit ribosomal RNA", at positions 29 to 507 of the family's 1533-position model. The record is from RNAcentral.
AACGAACGCUGGCGGCAUGCCUAACACAUGCAAGUCGAACGAGCCCUUCGGGUCUAGUGGCGCACGGGUGCGUCACCCGUGGGAACCUGCCCUUAGGUUCGGCAUACCUCCCCGAAAGGGGUACUAUUACCGGAUAAUGUCUUCGGCCCAAAGAUUUAUCGCCUUUGGUUGGGCCCGCGUUGGAUUAGCUAGUUGGUAGGGUAAAAGCCUACCAAGGCGCCGAUCCAUAGCUGGUCUGAGAGGAUGAUCAGCGACACUGGGACUGAGACACGGCCCAGACUCCUACGGGAGGCAGCAGUGGGGAAUAGUGGAAAAUGGGGUAAAGCAUGAUGCAGCAAGGACGCGUGAGUGAUGAAGGCCUUAGGGUUGUAAAGCGCUUUUAACCGGGAUGAUAAUGACAGUACCGGGAGAAUAAGCGCCGGCUAACUCCGUG